This is a non-coding RNA of Peromyscus maniculatus bairdii (prairie deer mouse), 2099 nucleotides long. NCBI's taxonomy places the organism in Eukaryota, Metazoa, Chordata, Mammalia, Rodentia, Cricetidae. The record is from RefSeq and is a predicted model, not a curated record.
GCCGGUUUUCAACCCAGCUGCACCCCACUCUACACAGCGCUCACCCCCACCCACCCCACUCCAUCUGUGACGCCGCCGAUCGCCUCCCUGACAGGUCCGUGCACGCAGCCCCGCCGCCGCCGGAGGAGGAAACCCCACGACAAGGUUUCACUGUGGGGCGAGCGAAUGCACCGUCACUGCGAAGGCGAACGUUCAGGGGAGAGGAGGUGCAUUCCUAGAGCACGUGAGAGCGAAUCGCCCUCUUGGUAGUCCCAAGCCCAGAGCCAUCUUCAGGGCAGUCGUUCAAAUCACUAAUGAGGUAAUGAGUUACCAAAUAAGUGUACAUUAUAUAGAUAUAUAUAUAUGCGGCUUUAGAGUCACAGUAAAAUUUCGAGGAAGGAAAAACACACAUAUUCUUGCUUCCGCUUAUGCAUAGCCUUCCUCGGUAGAACAGGGAGGGCAUUUGUAGCAGCUGUCGAACCCGCAAUAACAUACCAUUGUCACCUAGAGUCCAUAGAUUGUCUUGGGGUUCGUUUUGAGUAUUGUACAGUCUAUGAGUUCUGACAAAUAAUGCCAUAACGAUGCACCUUAUAGUUCAUACCGAAUGGUUUCACUGCCCUGAAAAUCCUGAGCAGGACUUUUCCUGCCUCUUUCUUUUGCCCCCUUCUUGGUAGUAAAAGAUUUAAGAAUCCAGCUGACUCUUCAGACAUAUCCCUAUGCCUUACAAAGAAGCCUUCCGAAAUAGGAAAUGAGGACAGAAGAAAAUAAUGAAAUGAGAGGAGAAUUCUAAAACAAAGGAAGCCAAUAGAGGAGCCUGGACAACUGGUUCAACCAGCAAGAUACAACAAAGUUCAAUAAUCUUUGGAAAAUCGUUAACUAAAAAGUUAAGUCUUCCUGAUGUUUUGUUUUGUUUGUUUUUUUCAAAUCAUUCAUCAGAUCUCUAUUUGGGCCAUCUUGAAAUAUCUAAUAUCACCAUUACCAGUCUAACAAUAAUAAAUGAUAUUGCCAUACCUAAUUUUCUUUAAAUUUGCUUUCAUGUGCUCCAAUGUAAUAUAUUUUAAAUUCUAAAGUAAUAAGCAUGUCAUCUCAUUGAUAUUAUUGGUAUAAAUGCUAGCUCCCCCUUAGAGUUAUCACCCUAAAUAGUAUUAUCUUUCAUGACACCUAAUGUUAGCAAAGAAAAUUAGAUUCCUAUACAACUUCUUAUCUAUAAAGAUGACUUAGAAUUGAAUUUUUAUGUCCUUUUAUUUUCAUUAGCCGCUUAAAUUCACUUGUUUUUAAAUUUCAUUACUUCUAAGAAAAAGGAGCCAUUGAAAAUCAGAGACCUGACUCAAAGUAGACACCCUGAAUCCUGUUUAGAUAUCAGUUGUUUCACUUUGCCCCCGCCCAGGUUCUCUGAAUAUGUUUCUCCUCUCACAGAGCAGAUGACACAAUUCAAUGACACCACACAUUCUCGGGGAGGAAGUAAAAGAGAACAGUGGAACAAAGCACCAGCACAAGGCACUGGCAUCUCCUGAAUCUCGUCCCUGUGUGUGUCGUUUUAGCCUCCACACAACUCUCGGGUGUAGGCAGACAUCACUUAGCAGAAAGAGAAACUAAGGCACAAAGAGAGUGAGCCACUUUACCAGGGCUAAAGUCACCAGUAAGUGGUGAUAGGCACCAGAACCUCUACAGUGUUAGGCACUGUGCUAAAUAUUGCACCCUAGAAAAAAGAACAAGUCCUUGUCUCCAUCUCUCCCGUGGCACUCAUGCAGAAGAGAGAAAGUUCUGAUACAUCGUAAAUAGCCCGUCUGAAUUCCUUCAGUUCUACCUUUUUCAUCCGCAGGAAAUCAUGAUGCUUUCUUGUCAUCUGCAUAAGAGGCUUUUUGAUCACUUUUCCCCAUGUCAACUAACCUACGACCACAACAAAACAAGAUGCUCACAUGUCCCCUGGGAGCCACUCCUUGGGGAUGAAGUAGAAAUCCUCUUAAGAGAUCUGAAACAAGAAAUGACAAUAUUCUCUAGAGGUCUUAAACAAUAUCUGGUAAUAUUUUCAACACUUGAUCUUUUAACAAUGACUCCACUUAGCUUAAAAAAAAAAAAAACUGAUGGUGAUUCAUUACCCGAAGCCACCUCAAGUGGAA